This 275-nucleotide unclassified non-coding RNA is filed under the name Hevea brasiliensis (rubber tree). The record is from RNAcentral. Lineage: Eukaryota; Viridiplantae; Streptophyta; Magnoliopsida; Malpighiales; Euphorbiaceae.
UAUCUCAGGCUAUAGAAGUAGCUAACAAGUGUUGGAAGUCAAUAAAAACCCUAAGAAUACCAGUAAUGUUUCCACGCCUUUUAGAAGCCAAUCUACUGUCACUUCAAUUCCAUAUCAAACCAAUUACUCAAACCAGUAUGCCAAACCAUAUCAAACCUAUAAAAUCCUCCAAGACCACCCAAUCUUGACAAAUCCAAUCCGGCAACAAUUAAUACUCAGUCCAGUACCAACUUUCCCAAACCACCACCUGCUAAACCAACAAAUUCUUCUUCAAA